Molecule: ribosomal RNA, 253 nt
Filed under: uncultured bacterium
Lineage: Bacteria
Description: partial 16S ribosomal RNA
Rfam family: Bacterial small subunit ribosomal RNA
Source: RNAcentral
UACAGAGGUCCCAAGCGUUGUUCGGAAUCACUGGGCGUAAAGGGCGCGUAGGUGGCGCGGGUAGUCGUCGGUGAAAGCUCAGGGCCCAACCCUGAGUCGGCCGGUGAUACUCCCGUGCUUGAGUGUGGUAGAGGCCAAUGGAAUUCCGGGUGUAGCGGUGGAAUGCGUAGAGAUCCGGAAGAACACCGGUGGCGAAGGCGGUUGGCUGGGCCACAACUGACACUGAUGCGCGACAGCGUGGGGAGCAAACAGG